This 424-nucleotide ribosomal RNA is filed under the name uncultured bacterium. RNAcentral describes it as "partial 16S ribosomal RNA". It matches the Rfam family "Bacterial small subunit ribosomal RNA", at positions 359 to 776 of the family's 1533-position model. The record is from RNAcentral.
UAUCUUACACAAUGGGCGAAAGCCUGAUGGAGCAACGCCGCGUGAGUGAAGAAGGAAUUCGGUUCGUAAAACUCUGUUGUAUGGGAAGAACAAGUAAAGUAGUAACUGGCUGUAACUUGACGGUACAUUAUUAGAAAGCCAAGGAUAAGUACGUGCAAGCAGCCGCGGUAAUACGAAGGUUGCAAGCGUUGUCCGGAAUUAUUGGGCGUAAAGCGCGCGCAAGCGGUCCUUUAAUUCUUAUGUGAAAGCCAACGGCUCAACCGUGGAGGGUCAUUGGAAUCUGGGGGACUUGAGUGCAGAAUAGUAAAGUGGAAUUCCAAGUGUAGCGGUUAAAUGCGUAGAGAUUUGGAGGAACACCAGUGGCGAAGGCGACUUUCUGGUCUGUAACUGACGCUGAGGCGCGAAAGCGUGGGGAGCAAACAGG